CGCCUGUUUAUUAAAAACAUGGCCUUUUGUUUUACACAUAUAAAAGGUUUGACCUGCCCGGUGACUGUAGUAGUUUAACGGCCGCUUUAUUUGUGCUAAGGUAGCACGGUGAGUAGCCCUUUAAUUGAGGGAUUGUAUGAAUGGUUGGACACGGAGAGACUGUUUCCAAUAUAAUAAGUAGAAGUUUCUUUUCAAGUGAAAAAGCUUGAGUUUUUGUAAAAGACGAGAAGACCCUGUCGAACUUAAUUAAAACCUAGUAUAUUUAAUUUUUUACCUUAUUUGUUUUGUUUUGUUAAAUUAGUUUUGUUGUUAUGACUCAUGUCUUAGUUAAGAAGUGUUGUUACAAUAAAGAUUUUAUUAAUUUUUGAAAUUGGGUGUGGAAAAUUUAUUUUAGUUUUGAAUUUUUGUUGGGGCAACAGAAGUCUAUUAAACGAUAUCUUGUUGGAUAAAGACCCUGUAUGAUGGUUUAAAAGCAAAAGUUACCGCAGGGAUAACAGCGUAAUUUUUUUUUGUAAUUGUAUCGAGAAAAGAGUUUACGACCUCGAUGUUGAAUUAAGAAACCUUUAUGGCGCAGGAGCUAUAGGAGGAAAACUGUUCGUUUUUUAAUUUCUUACAUGAUCUGAGUUCAGACCGG
RNAcentral lists this ribosomal RNA (634 nucleotides) under Meretrix lusoria. RNAcentral's name for it is "partial 16S ribosomal RNA". It matches the Rfam family "Bacterial large subunit ribosomal RNA", at positions 1797 to 2619 of the family's 2925-position model. The record is from RNAcentral. Lineage: Eukaryota; Metazoa; Mollusca; Bivalvia; Venerida; Veneridae.